This 481-nucleotide ribosomal RNA is filed under the name uncultured bacterium. RNAcentral describes it as "partial 16S ribosomal RNA". It matches the Rfam family "Bacterial small subunit ribosomal RNA", at positions 30 to 507 of the family's 1533-position model. The record is from RNAcentral.
AUUGAACGCUGGCGGCAUGCUUUACACAUGCAAGUCGAACGGUAACAGGCCGCAAGGUGCUGACGAGUGGCGAACGGGUGAGUAAUGCAUCGGAACGUGCCCAGUCGUGGGGAUAACUACUCGAAAGAGUAGCUAAUACCGCACACGAUCUAUGGAUGAAAGCGGGGGACCGUAAGGCCUCGCGCGAUUGGAGCGGCCGAUGUCAGAUUAGGUAGUUGGUGGGGUAAAGGCUCACCAAGCCAACGAUCUGUAGCUGGUCUGAGAGGACGACCAGCCACACUGGGACUGAGACACGGCCCAGACUCCUACGGGAGGCAGCAGUGGGGAAUUUUGGACAAUGGGCGCAAGCCUGAUCCAGCAAUGCCGCGUGCAGGAAGAAGGCCUUCGGGUUGUAAACUGCUUUUGUACGGAACGAAACGGCUCUGGUUAAUACCCGGGGCUAAUGACGGUACCGUAAGAAUAAGCACCGGCUAACUACGUG